UCCAACAAUUGAUGAACCCAGUGAACAUUGCAUUUUGUACUCCCUUUGGCUGUUUGUCUUUCAGGUUACUGGAGUAGGGUAUAACAGGUUUGGAGAAGUGAUACUUGAUGGUGAUGUUAUCCAUGGUUAUAACAACCCAUCCAUUAGCAAAAUCGUUGAGGCUGGUUGUGUGUGCAAUGAUGCUCUGAUUA
Tinamus guttatus (white-throated tinamou) is the source of this 191-nucleotide non-coding RNA. The record is from RefSeq and is a predicted model, not a curated record. NCBI's taxonomy places the organism in Eukaryota, Metazoa, Chordata, Aves, Tinamiformes, Tinamidae.